Molecule: ribosomal RNA, 253 nt
Filed under: uncultured bacterium
Lineage: Bacteria
Description: partial 16S ribosomal RNA
Rfam family: Bacterial small subunit ribosomal RNA
Source: RNAcentral
UACGUAGGGGGCAAGCGUUGUCCGGAAUCAUUGGGCGUAAAGCGAGCGUAGGCGGCCCGAUAAGUCUGCUGUAAAAGUCAACGGCUCAACCGUUGAAAGCCGGUGGAUACUGUCGGGCUAGAGUUCGGAAGAGGCAAGUGGAAUUCCUGGUGUAGCGGUGGAAUGCGCAGAUAUCAGGAGGAACACCUAUAGCGAAGGCAGCUUGCUGGGACGAAACUGACGCUAAGGCUCGAAAGCGUGGGGAGCAAACAGG